ACGGGAGGCAGCAGUGGGGAAUAUUGCACAAUGGGCGCAAGCCUAAUGCAGCGAUGCCGCGUGAGGGAAGAAGGUUUUCGGAUUGUAAACCUCUGUCAUCGGGGACGAUAAUGCCUGUACCCGAGAAGGAAGCUCCGGCUAACUACGUGCCAGCAGCCGCGGUAAUACGUAGGGAUCGAGCGUUAUCCGGAAUUACUGGGUGUAAAGGGAGUGUAGGCGGGACGGUAAGUCAGAUGUGAAAUAUACCGGCUCAACUGGUAGACUGCAUUUGAACCUGCGGUUCUUGAGUGAAGUAGAGGUAAGCGGAAUUCCUAGUGUAGCGGUGAAAUGCGUAGAUAUUAGGAGGAACAUCAGUGGCGAAGGCGGCUUACUGGGCUUUAACUGACGCUGAGGCUCGAAAGCGUGGCGAGCAAACAGGAUUAGAUACCCUGGUA
RNAcentral lists this ribosomal RNA (434 nucleotides) under uncultured Ruminococcus sp. RNAcentral describes it as "partial 16S ribosomal RNA". It matches the Rfam family "Bacterial small subunit ribosomal RNA", at positions 341 to 792 of the family's 1533-position model. The record is from RNAcentral. Lineage: Bacteria; Bacillati; Bacillota; Clostridia; Eubacteriales; Oscillospiraceae.